UCAUAUCAAUUUUGUUCACAUCAAUCAGAAUCCGAGGACGAAAGCUGUUAAAACAUGGCAAAGGUAUGUAUAUCAAAUCACAUCUCUUGUAAAACCAAUAAAAUAGUGUAUCUUAUCUUAAGAAUAAAAGGAAAAACUCACAGGAUCCUUGCGAAAGCGUUUCUGUUCUCUUGAAGAGUCCAUUGGUCCUCUGCACCAGAAGCAUAGUAGUCGUAUACCAUCUUAGGCAACUUCUGCUUUGCGAUUGCUUCAUACUCGGUAACGUUUGUGAUCUCCAUUUUCGGAUGUUAAUCUGUCAAAAGAGCAUAAAGUCGUGAGUUUUGCGGAAUUCAGACAUAGUCAUAUAGCUACGAUUCUAAUCUCCAGAAUUCAGCACAAGUGUUUACGUUUGGUCUUAAACACAGAAUUCAGACAUAGCUAAUACACACCUUAAUGAGAAUGGAGCUCUCUGGAGAGAUGAAGGGUGUGACUGGUAAGCAAAGCUUAUAUUAUAUAUAUCUCAAUCUUUGUUAGUUAAAUGUUAAAUAUUUGUGUUUGAUUAAUUUGUAACUGUGUAAAACUUGUUGGCAAGUUGGGAAAAUAAUAUGGAUGAGAAGCUGGAGGUGAAGAAUGGAUGAGGAGAUACGGACAAGGAUCAGAUGGGUUUUGUCUAAUCCACAAGCAACUUGUGUGUUCCUUAGCUUUUCUUUCAUAUUAUCGUUCACAAUCUCGAGGAAAAAUAAUA
This 724-nucleotide long non-coding RNA is filed under the name Eutrema salsugineum. Its description in RNAcentral is "long non-coding RNA (ESAL_LNC001651)". The record is from RNAcentral. Lineage: Eukaryota; Viridiplantae; Streptophyta; Magnoliopsida; Brassicales; Brassicaceae.